AGAGCCUGAUUAAAGGAUUAUCGUGAUAGGAUAAAAUAUGUAAAAAAAUUGCCUA
RNAcentral lists this transfer RNA (55 nucleotides) under Glyptotermes sp. C TB-2014. RNAcentral's name for it is "tRNA-Ile". Lineage: Eukaryota; Metazoa; Arthropoda; Insecta; Blattodea; Kalotermitidae. The record is from RNAcentral.